AACGCUGGCGGCAGGCCUAACACAUGCAAGUCGAGCGGUAGAGAGAAGCUUGCUUCUCUUGAGAGCGGCGGACGGGUGAGUAAUGCCUAGGAAUCUGCCUGGUAGUGGGGGAUAACGUUCGGAAACGGACGCUAAUACCGCAUACGUCCUACGGGAGAAAGCAGGGGACCUUCGGGCCUUGCGCUAUCAGAUGAGCCUAGGUCGGAUUAGCUAGUUGGUGGGGUAAUGGCUCACCAAGGCGACGAUCCGUAACUGGUCUGAGAGGAUGAUCAGUCACACUGGAACUGAGACACGGUCCAGACUCCUACGGGAGGCAGCAGUGGGGAAUAUUGGACAAUGGGCGAAAGCCUGAUCCAGCCAUGCCGCGUGUGUGAAGAAGGUCUUCGGAUUGUAAAGCACUUUAAGUUGGGAGGAAGGGCAGUAAAUUAAUACUUUGCUGUUUUGACGUUACCGACAGAAUAAGCACCGGC
RNAcentral lists this ribosomal RNA (470 nucleotides) under Pseudomonas sp. BH11.6. RNAcentral describes it as "bacterial SSU rRNA". It matches the Rfam family "Bacterial small subunit ribosomal RNA", at positions 32 to 497 of the family's 1533-position model. The record is from RNAcentral. Lineage: Bacteria; Pseudomonadati; Pseudomonadota; Gammaproteobacteria; Pseudomonadales; Pseudomonadaceae.